Molecule: long non-coding RNA, 207 nt
Filed under: Mytilus galloprovincialis (Mediterranean mussel)
Lineage: Eukaryota; Metazoa; Mollusca; Bivalvia; Mytilida; Mytilidae
Source: RNAcentral
UUUAUUAUGUCACCCGAUCGACAAUGUCGGGUGACAUAUUGCUAUUCCUCUGUUUCUUUUUCCGUAUUAUUAUUAUUUUUCUUCCACCUAAUUUUGUCCGACCGCUUUCUCGGAACCAAAGGAACCAAUCUAAAUGAUAGUUCACUAUAACAAGGAACCCUGACUUUCGAGUUGCAGUGCAACUUUGGAACUAAAAAAUGGCUGCCG